GACACAUGUCAUUUAUUUGAAAGGGGCAAUUGCUCCACUACAAGAUGGACCUGCGUUGUAUUAGCUAGUAGGUGAGGUAACGGCUCACCUAGGCGACGAUACAUAGCCGACCUGAGAGGGUGAUCGGCCACACUGGGACUGAGACACGGCCCAGACUCCUACGGGAGGCAGCAGUAGGGAAUCUUCGGCAAUGGGGGCAACCCUGACCGAGCAACGCCGCGCGAGUGAAGAAGGUUUUCGGAUCGUAAAGCUCUGUUGUAAGUCAAGAACGAGUGUGAGAGUGGAAAGUUCACACUGUGACGGUAGCUUACCAGAAAGGGACGGCUAACUACGUGCCAGCAGCCGCGGUAAUACGUAGGUCCCGAGCGUUGUCCGGAUUUAUUGGGCGUAAAGCGAGCGCAGGCGGUUUGAUAAGUCUGAAGUUAAAGGCUGUGGCUCAACCAUAGUUCGCUUUGGAAACUGUCAAACUUGAGUGCAGAAGGGGAGAGUGGAAUUCCAUGUGUAGCGGUGAAAUGCGCAGAUAUAUGGAGGAACACCGGUGGCGAAAGCGGCUCUCUGGUCUGUAACUGACGCUGAGGCUCGAAAGCGUGGGGAGCGAACAGGAUUAGAUACCCUGGUAGUCCACGCCGUA
Molecule: ribosomal RNA, 631 nt
Filed under: uncultured bacterium
Lineage: Bacteria
Description: bacterial SSU rRNA
Rfam family: Bacterial small subunit ribosomal RNA
Source: RNAcentral